This 382-nucleotide ribosomal RNA is filed under the name uncultured organism. Its description in RNAcentral is "partial 16S ribosomal RNA". It matches the Rfam family "Bacterial small subunit ribosomal RNA", at positions 527 to 896 of the family's 1533-position model. The record is from RNAcentral.
GAGUGCCCCGAGCGUUACUCCGGAUUUAUUGGGCGUAAAGCGUACGUAGGCCGUCUAUUAAGUCAGAAGUAAAAUCUCAGAGCUCAACUCUGAACCUGCUCCUGAAACUGAUAGACUAGAGGCUGGGAGAGGCAAGCGGAAUUGCUGGUGUAGGAGUAAAAUCCGUUAAUAUCAGCAGGAACACCAAAUGCGAAGGCAGCUUGCUAGAACAGUCCUGACGCUAAGGUACGAAAGCGUGGGGGUAGCGAAUGGGAUUAGAUACCCCAGUAGUCCACGCCGUAAACGAUGGAUACUAGACAUUGGAAGUAUCGACCCUUUCAGUGUCGGUGAACCAAGCUAACGCAUUAAGUAUCCCCGCCUGGGGAGUACGGCCGCAAGGCUA